Molecule: long non-coding RNA, 743 nt
Organism: Bos taurus (domestic cattle)
Lineage: Eukaryota; Metazoa; Chordata; Mammalia; Artiodactyla; Bovidae
Source: Ensembl
UGGGAUUAGAAGUGGAUGUGCCUGAAACUGCAAUUUGAAAUCUCACCAGUUGGUUGGACCCACCACCUGGGACCUAUCCUGUUAACAAGGGACUUCCUAACGCUGUUCAAGUUUGGACGUUGGUCAGCCGAAUCUGGUGAUGAUCUUAGCUACUAUAGGAGGCAUUGAAUCCAGGUGGCCACAGCAGUGAAAACACAGUCUUAACUACUGGACUGCCAAGGAACUCCCUAACUCCAUUUUAAAUGAAGCUUCUGUUUAUUAAUUUUCACACAGAUCUCCAAUUCUAGGAGUGGACUUGCUGGGUCAUCUGCCAUCCAGUAGCCUGAAGUGGUAGUUUGGUGAUCUGAUUUGCAUUUCUCCCUGUACUGCAGGUGGUGAGUAUUUUUUUUCAUGAGUUGGCCAUUUAUUUCUUUUCUUUGGGGAAACGUCCAUUUGGAUCCUUUGCCCAUUUUUUGAACAGAGAUUUUUAUCUGUUUUGUCGACUGAAAAAAAAAAUACAAGUGACCUAGAGGUUGAGAGUUAUGUUUUAUUUGGAGGAAAUUUUUAGGACUUAAGUCCAGGAGGCAGCAUCUCAAGUAACCCUGAGAGAACUGCUUGGAGGAGAGUGGUGUGUGUGUGUGUGUGUGUGUGUGUGUGUGUUUAGGAGUCAGGUUACAUAGAAGUUUUGCAACAAAAGGCAAGUAGUCUGAACGUCCAAAGUAAUUUUGUGAAUUAAAGAAAACCAGGUUAACCCCAAGUUAAGA